CGCGGGGCGGUCGAGCAGUAAGACGCCUGGCUCAUACCCAGGAGAUCGCGGGUGCAAUUCCCGCCCCCGCUA
This 72-nucleotide transfer RNA is filed under the name Methanomicrobiales archaeon. RNAcentral's name for it is "tRNA-Met". It matches the Rfam family "tRNA". From Rfam's summary of the family: Transfer RNA (tRNA) molecules are approximately 80 nucleotides in length. Their secondary structure includes four short double-helical elements and three loops (D, anti-codon, and T loops). Lineage: Archaea; Methanobacteriati; Methanobacteriota; Methanomicrobia; Methanomicrobiales. The record is from RNAcentral.